This is a long non-coding RNA of Anolis carolinensis (green anole), 339 nucleotides long. RefSeq lists it as uncharacterized. NCBI's taxonomy places the organism in Eukaryota, Metazoa, Chordata, Lepidosauria, Squamata, Anolidae. The transcript is spliced from 3 exons. The record is from RefSeq and is a predicted model, not a curated record.
CCUAACUCAAGAUGGCUGCCUCCCUGGCAUUUUCUACCAACAUGGAGGCCUGCCAUACUGUUAUCCAGGCUCUGUUUCUGGCCUACCAGAAAAUGUGUUAGCUACUAGAAUGAAUACAUGGAACGGCACCAAAGACAUUACUGGCUAUAUCUGAAGGAUGAAAACAGCCAAUAGUUUUUAAGAAAGGGACUCAGAUUGGCCAACACGGGGACAAGCCAAGAGAACAAACAAUAAAUAAAAUAAAAUACAUAUAAAGACAACAUCUUCAAGCAGAUAAAAUAAACACAUUAAGCUGAAACAUGUGAUGGAAUCUGUCAAAUUCACCUGUGUUAGAUCACU